ACCCUCCAGUUUCCUUGCCACUCAGAUCGACAUAUUGGUUGGAGUCGCUAAACAAAGAGGACAAAUAAAACAGAAGGGGACUUGAAGCCUUUUAUGACAUACAAGUUCCUUUCAAACAAAU
RNAcentral lists this small nucleolar RNA (121 nucleotides) under Echinops telfairi (small Madagascar hedgehog). RNAcentral's name for it is "Small nucleolar RNA SNORA61 (ENSETEG00000026234.1)". The record is from RNAcentral. Lineage: Eukaryota; Metazoa; Chordata; Mammalia; Afrosoricida; Tenrecidae.